Molecule: RNA transcript, 1477 nt
Organism: Brassica napus (rape)
Lineage: Eukaryota; Viridiplantae; Streptophyta; Magnoliopsida; Brassicales; Brassicaceae
Gene name: probable ubiquitin-conjugating enzyme E2 16
Exons: 7
Source: RefSeq, a predicted model, not a curated record
GAAAUAAUCUGCCAGAGAUCUGUUCAAUCAGAGAGGACCCCACAAAUCCUUAUUCUUCAUCGAGCCUUCCUUCUCAUUUCUUCUUCUCCAAAGGGGGCGAUCAUCUCUGUCUCACUCCAUCUCUGCAAAGCCAUGGCAAGUUCUGGUGCUCCUUCUCACAAGGCUCUGAGCAAAAUCGCGUGUAAAAGGCUUCAGAAAGAGCUUGUGGAAUGGCAGAUGAAUCCACCUACGGGGUUCAAACACAAGGUCACUGAUAAUCUCCAGAGAUGGAUAAUUGAAGUUAUUGGAGCACCAGGAACUUUGUACGCGAACGAGACCUAUCAGCUUCAAGUUGAUUUUCCCGAGCACUAUCCUAUGGAAUCGCCGCAAGUGAUCUUUCUCCCUCCGGCUCCUUUGCAUCCUCACAUUUACAGCAAUGGGCAUAUUUGCUUAGAUAUUCUGUAUGAUUCGUGGUCUCCAGCGAUGACUGUUAGUUCUAUCUGCAUCAGCAUCCUCUCCAUGCUCUCUAGCUCGACUGAAAAGCAACGACCGACCGAUAAUGACCGAUAUGUGCAGAAUUGUAAGAACGGAAGAUCUCCAAAGGAGACGAGAUGGUGGUUCCACGAUGAUAAAGUAUAAACCAUCCAUCCAUCAAAACCAUAAAUGUAUAAUAAUCCAAAACAAUCAUGAGGUCAUAUAUAUACAUCAGGAAGAAUAUAAUCUCAACUACUACUUUCCCCCUCUGAUUUUGUCCUGUCACCAUGAAGCUGACGACGAAGACGACGAUGGACGAAACAAAGCCAGAGAUGGGUUCUGAAAGAUUUUCUGACCGGUAGCGAGUAUAUGCCGUGGAUCGAACUCAGCCUUCAUGCUUCUAAACUGAUCCCAUUUGUCUCCAUAAUGAGCCACCCACUCCUCUUGCGUUGCAUGGUGAGGAAGGUACUGCUUCACAUUGAUCUUGGCUUGUUCACAGAACUCCAAGAUCCGACGGUUCUGAUCUUUCAAAUACUCUAGCUUCUGCGUUUCUUCACCGUCCGAUAAAGCUGAUCUCAGUAAAGCCACGAGGUAGAAAACUUCCUCGUCCGGUGUAACGGCCGAGCUUCUUUCGUCCCAUCUGGCAUUACAAAAAGUACGUCACGUCAGCACGACAUAAUCUUAUAGUUAAUAAAUGAUGUGAGGGAGGGUCGUUGAGAUCGGUUUGGUUUAGUAGAAUCCGAUUGGGACCCACCACCAUUAGUUAUAGGAACUAAAAAACAAUAGACCCAAUCUGGACCGUCCAGAUUGGACAACGAACCAAAAGAGAAAGAUGAGCCGACGAUGAUGCGUUAUUAUCAAUCUUAGCUGGUUCGAUUCGAUGCACAUGUGAACAAAGUUUUUCGGACAAUCCCAUGUACCACGUGUCAGUAGUUCUUUACAGUUUCGACAAAACAUUUAUUUUCUUGGACCACUAAUUUAAUCCCCACAAGUGUAACUUUGCAUGCAUGCAAAACUCGUUUUA